GUAUUCCUUAUCUGUUAUCUAUUUUAUAUGGUUAUGUGGAGCCUAUCUUCCUGCCAUUUUCUUCAUGUUAAUGAAAACAGCAGGAAGAUAGGCCCUAAUGUAGUUGCCGCUUUAUCUC
Molecule: small RNA, 118 nt
Filed under: Providencia alcalifaciens
Lineage: Bacteria; Pseudomonadati; Pseudomonadota; Gammaproteobacteria; Enterobacterales; Morganellaceae
Description: tp2
Rfam family: tp2
Source: RNAcentral